UACGGAGGAUGCGAGCGUUAUCCGGAUUUAUUGGGUUUAAAGGGUGCGCAGGCGGUCUGUUAAGUCAGCGGUCAAAGCCCGGGGCUCAACCCCGGCCCGCCGUUGAAACUGGCAGUCUCGAGUUGGAGAGAAGUAUGCGGAAUGCGCGGUGUAGCGGUGAAAUGCAUAGAUAUCGCGCAGAACUCCGAUUGCGAAGGCAGCAUGCCGGCUCCGCACUGACGCUGAGGCACGAAAGCGUGGGUAUCGGACAGG
RNAcentral lists this ribosomal RNA (252 nucleotides) under uncultured bacterium. Its description in RNAcentral is "partial 16S ribosomal RNA". It matches the Rfam family "Bacterial small subunit ribosomal RNA", at positions 524 to 776 of the family's 1533-position model. The record is from RNAcentral.